AUUUAAUUCAGGUAAAUUUGUUUGCAGGUUCUUCUUCUCCAUCUUAAUUGAUUCUAUCUUAACAAAAGAUUCAGCGUAUAGCUUCUCCAAUGAUUAACGUAAGAGCAGAAUAAAUCAAGGUUGUGAUUAUGGAUUCUUCUAAUGCAUCAAAUUCAAAUGCCACAAACACUACCUGUGAUUCAUUGCCCUCUUCUUCGGCUACUCAAACUAAAGAUCCAGCAUGGGAAUGGGGUGAACGCCAAGACCUAGCAAAUCAAAAUAUUAUUACUUGUUUGUUAUGUAAGAAAUUAAUUCGUGGUGGUGGAAUUACUAGGCUUAAGGAGCAUCUUUUACAUAUUAAAGGGAAUGUUUCUUCAUGUCCAAAUGUGUCCAUUGACAUUAUGAACAAAGUUAGUCUGGUGUAUUCUGUAAAG
Papaver somniferum (opium poppy) is the source of this 413-nucleotide long non-coding RNA. RefSeq lists it as uncharacterized. The transcript has 3 exons. Lineage: Eukaryota; Viridiplantae; Streptophyta; Magnoliopsida; Ranunculales; Papaveraceae. The record is from RefSeq and is a predicted model, not a curated record.